This 324-nucleotide ribosomal RNA is filed under the name uncultured eukaryote. RNAcentral describes it as "partial 18S ribosomal RNA". It matches the Rfam family "Eukaryotic small subunit ribosomal RNA", at positions 1470 to 1796 of the family's 1831-position model. The record is from RNAcentral.
CCCUUAGAUGUUCUGGGCUGCACGCGCGCUACACUGAAGCUAUCAACACGUUUUCCCUCCCUGAGAAGGGCGGGUAACCUUUUGAAUCAGCCUCGUGGUAGGGAUCGGGGCUUGCAAUUGUUCCCCGUGAACCAGGAAUUCCUAGUAGACGCGAGUCAUAAGCUCGCAUCGAUUAAGUCCCUGCCCUUUGUACACACCGCCCGUCGCUACUACCGAUUGAACGUUUUAGUGAGGCAUUUGGACCGACGCAUCUCAGUUUAACCGCUGGUUUGUGUUGGAAAGACUUCCAAACUUGAGCGUUUAGAGGAAGUAAAAGUCGUAACA